UGGGGAAUAUUGCACAAUGGGCGCAAGCCUGAUGCAGCCAUGCCGCGUGUAUGAAGAAGGCCUUCGGGUUGUAAAGUACUUUCAGCGGGGAGGAAGGGAGUAAAGUUAAUACCUUUGCUCAUUGACGUUACCCGCAGAAGAAGCACCGGCUAACUCCGUGCCAGCAGCCGCGGUAAUACGGAGGGUGCAAGCGUUAAUCGGAAUUACUGGGCGUAAAGCGCACGCAGGCGGUCUGUCAAGUCGGAUGUGAAAUCCCCGGGCUUAACCUGGGAACUGCAUUCGAAACUGGCAGGCUAGAGUCUUGUAGAGGGGGGUAGAAUUCCAGGUGUAGCGGUGAAAUGCGUAGAGAUCUGGAGGAAUACCGGUGGCGAAUGCGGCCCCCUGGACAAAGACUGACGCUCAGGUGCGAAAGCGUGGGGAGCAAACAGG
This 429-nucleotide ribosomal RNA is filed under the name Chloroflexota bacterium. RNAcentral describes it as "Chloroflexi bacterium partial 16S ribosomal RNA". It matches the Rfam family "Bacterial small subunit ribosomal RNA", at positions 355 to 776 of the family's 1533-position model. Lineage: Bacteria; Bacillati; Chloroflexota. The record is from RNAcentral.